This 15028-nucleotide unclassified non-coding RNA is filed under the name Schistocerca americana (American grasshopper). RNAcentral describes it as "titin-like, transcript variant X2". The record is from RNAcentral. Lineage: Eukaryota; Metazoa; Arthropoda; Insecta; Orthoptera; Acrididae.
AAUGAAGCAGAAAACUUUGGAAACCCCUUCAGUGUUAGGUGUCGAAAAAGAGUCGCAGAGUAAGUUCUUGAAGGAAGACUUGAAAGAUUCCUCAGAAAAAUGUGAUACUCAACAGGUAUCUAGUGAAGAAGCUACUGAAACAGCCAGUCUCACCCAAAAACCAGAAACUCUAGUAACAUCACCUGCCAAGGAGCUUAAGACUGGUGUGGAAACAGGAGUCAGCAAGGUUUUUAAAGAAAAAGAUGCACUGGAGGAAAUAGCUAUGGGGGAACAGUUUCUUCCUUCAACAGUCACUGAAACAAAACCAGCUGAUGUGGACCCUGUGUGUCUGGACAUAUCACAAAAUGUUACAGACAGAAAAGCCACUACCAUUGUAAAACCACAAGUUACUGUAAAAGGAGAGAAACUUUUUGAAAGCUUGUCCAAGGAAAAGAAAAUUGUUACUGCUGAAAUAAGUAGAACAGAGCACCACUCAGUAACUAAGAAAUCUCCGUUCAAAUCACAAGUUGUAGAGCCAUCUGUUACAAAGCUGCCGACAGCUGAUGCAGAAAGGCUUCAAAGUACAUCAGCUGCAAAUACAGGAUCAUUUUUAAAUAAACAAAAGCCCUCUAUUGUUGCACCCAGAGCUCUGAAACAGUUGAUGGAUGCUUAUGGUGAUGAGGAGUCACAGGAUUCUGAAGAGCUUUCUGAAAUAUAUUCAGAGAAAUCAAGCUCUUAUGGCCAAUCAAUUGAAGAAAAGGUCUCUGACAAAAUUUCUCAAGACUUUGCAUACAAGUUGGUUGAGAAAUCUGUCAAAGUAGAUGCAACUUCAUCUCAAAAAAUUCAGAGUGUACAAGGGAGUAAAGGAACAGAAGAGGGCGAAAACAUCUCGACCAGUCCUGGACCUAAGUCCUCCAUUGAUUUACUGGAAGGUAGGGGCAUACAAGGAGCACCAGUUGUCUCCGAAGCAUUACUGCCUUUGGAACAGAAACAAAAAACCGAUGGUGUGCCGAAGGCAAAAAGUCAGCUUCCUGAAAAAGUUGCAGUAAAUAAAUCCGGCACAAUUAGUUCUGUACUCCCAGCUUCAAGUAUCAGUAAAGAGAAGGAUAAAACAUCACAGCAGGAUAAAGUGGAGACCAGUGAGGUCACUGUAGAUAUAGAUCGCCCUUCCACAAGUUCAUUGGAAGCAUCACCAACUAUUGGUAAAAGGAAACCACCGUCAACUGUAAUUGAGAGUGAAUCAGAUGUUUUGCAGAAAAUGUCAGCAUUUAAUAAGCAGGCAAAUGUCUCUUCUCCAAUAGUUGAAAGUAAGGAAUCUAAAAAAACAAAACUUUCAGUGGCAGGUGCAAAAGAAACUGAUGAAGCUGUGUCAAAAAAAUCACAAAAUAUACAACCCUCUGCAAUGGAUAAUACAGACAUUAUGUUGACAGAACCCUCAAAGACAGACAUUUCUAAAUCAGCUGGUAAAAUGCAACCAGAGUUGAUUGACAGCAAGAGACAGGAAGACAAAACGAAGUCAAGUGUGGCGGUGUUUGAAGACAUAUCUCCAUUAGUUGAAGAAGUGGUUAAAAAGGCUGUAGCUGAAAAGAAGGAUCCUGAAUCAAAUUUAAAAAUUAUCUCAGAAACUCUUGGAGAUAAGAAAGAGCACGCUGUAGUAAAAGAAAAGAAUACUGAGGGUUCUGAUGCUCCUUCUGAUAAUAGAAAAGUGCCAGAGACAGUAAAGGUGACAUCAAAGGAGAAAUCAGAAAAGGGUCCGAAAGAAAACAAGGAGAAAACUCCAAUGCCACAGAAUGACAAUGAAACAGGAACUUCACCAUCUGAGGCAGAUGUUAAAUCAAAGGCUUCAGAGCGAUCUAGUAAACGUGACACAAAAGUAAGUGAAGCUGAAACAGUGAGUGCAGGAGCGGGUCAACCUAAGGAGAUUGUUCCAGAACCAACUCGAGAAUCAUCUGAAGAAACAGACCGCAGGAAAAUUACUUCAGUGGUAACAUCUGUCAAACAAAAAUGUGAAACUUCAGCAUCAGUACCUGAACGUAAAUGUUCCACAGAUGGACCAAAGGCACCUCCAAGGCACACUGAACCAAAGGCUAGCACGAUUCAUGCAGAACAAUGUUUCCCUCAGAUAGUGGAACAGAAAACUGAGCCUUUGAAAAGAAAGCAAACAGUUGUUGAGAAGCUGCAGAAAGCUGCUGUUGUGGAAGCAAAAGACGCAAUAAAACGACCUGAAAUGAGGCUCAGUGUUCAGUCUGUGAAGGAGGAAACUGAAAUUAAUUCCAGAGCCAAGAAGGAAAUGCUGAGCACACUAGUGCAAGCUAAUGAAUCACAUAAAAGUCCUCCAGAAACAGAGAAUGUGCAAAUGAAAGAAGAAACUAGAGAGCCAUUGCCAGCAACAGAAGCAAAGGACACUGUUAUCAAAGCUGAAAUGAAACAUAGUGCUCAUCCUACAGGUAGAAAGCUGACUCUUUCACUGGAAGAAACAGCAAGUCAUUCUGCAGAUGCUAAAGAAAAACUGAGUACUCUGUCUCCAACAGGUAAAGUGGAGAGAAUUCCAUCAGGGCCUGCUGAUAGAGAAGCUAAAGCUAAUCUAAAACCAUUGCCACCAAAAACUGAAUCGCUUGCUCCUGAAGCUGAAUUAAAAUCAGUUGAACAAUCACAAGAAGAGAAGUGGCCAGCAUCCCCAACCAAAGUUGAAAUUAGGUCUGCUAUCACCAUGGAAAAAUUGAGUGUGUUACCAGCCCAAACUAUUGAAAAAAUUCCACAAAAGAGUAUGGAUGUGAGAAUGGAAGCAAUUCAGAAUGCAACUAAAGAAAAAAUAUUUGGGUCUGAAUUAAAAACUGAUGCUGUGCCUGUGGAGCAAAAGAGGGCUAUGGUGGCACGGAAAAGUGAAAUUAGUCAUUUCGCUGCCAAAGAAAAUGUUAGCACCUUACCAGCGAUAGAUGCAACAGAAAAAAAAUUGCCAAAAAUCUCUGGCACUAAAGUAAUUGAAGGGAAGCAAAAACCAAUUUACACAGAGGUAAAAUCAACUGUACCUAAACUUGAAUUGAAACCAAAAGGGCAUCAUGAAAAGAUUCAGAUGCCUCAGUCAUCAAAACCAGGUGUUCUUAAGUCUGGAUCAGUAAAGGAAAAUCCUCUAACAAUAUCACAUGCAAGCAAAAUGGGGAAAAUUUCAUCUGAAAGUUCUGAUACUGAAAUGGCCAAAGAAAAACAGACAUCUGUUCCAAAACAGGUUAAAGCAUCAGUGCCCAGUUCUGAAUUAAAAUCUGCUGCACUGCACAAAAAAGAAGAGGUGGAAUCUUCCUCCAAAAAGAAAACAGAAACUAAGUCUGAUACUGUUGAGGAGAAAGCAAGUCUGUCAUUGGUGAAAGCUCUCAGCACAGAUUCUGUAGACAGAGUUGAAAACAACUCAGUUAUACAAACCACAGAAGUUUCUGAGAAGCUUGAUAAUGUUUCUCUAACAGUAAGACCACCCGUUUUGUCACCAUCAGAACAGAGAAAACCACAAACUGGUGAAAAAGAAAUAAUUAAACAGAAGAAUGGCUCAAAGGAGCAAAGAGAGAAAGAAGACAAGACUGAGAGUCAAAUACCAGCUGCCAUUAAAGAAGAUUCUUUGAGUGUAACUGUAGGCUCAAAAGAUCCAGAGUUAAUUUCUUCUCUGGCAAAUCUGAAUGUUAUAUCUACAAGCAAAAUAGAUAAUAAGGGGAUGCCUUUGGUUAAGGACGGGGGUAGUUCAGAAAUAAGUACAUCAGAAACUCUUGUUGUCUGUUCAGAGGACGUUUCACAUAAAGUCGUGCCGGAGGUGUCUGCUAAGAAAAUUGAAACAGAGCAAGGUGCUAGUGUGAAAGAACGGCAAAUAACAGGGUCUUCAGUGUCAAGCUGGAAACCAGUUGCUUCAAAAGGGGUUUCUGAUCUUCAUGAGUUAACUGAGACAGAAAGAGUGGAGAAGCUUCUGCCCAAAACAGAGGAAGAAAAGUUAGUUCCAGAUAGUGUGAGGGGUGAAGCAACAAAGCCUGCAACAAAUCUUGCAGCUCUCAAGGGAAAGCCACAGACUUCCAAAGAAACAGAAACAAUAACUGAAUAUGCUCAAGCGACCAACACGACAGCUGUUGAGGACAGGAUGAAGACCAAACCUGAAGACAUUUGUGGUGGUCAAGAGAAAUCGGUGAAGAUGUCAGAGGAUGUAACUGCCGUGUUGUCUUCAAAGGAGUCUUUGAAUAAAGAAAGAUUGAAGGAUGCUGCAGAGAAAGUUAAAGUUGAAACUAAAUUAGAGGAAAAGAAAGGUGAAAGAAGUAAAAUAGAAGAGACAGUGUUGAAAACAAAGGAAGAUGACAAUGUCUCAAAGUCUGAUGAGAAAUCUGAUGAAGCAAAGUAUGAUGACAAAGGAGAUUUUAAGUUGAGACAUGCUGAGGUUAAACAUUCAGCAUCUGGCCCACUUAUGGUAAAUACAGACGCCUGUGUUACUAAAGAUAAGAAACAGACCACAAAUGAGACAGAGACGAUAACCAUCACAAAGAAUGAAAAAGCAGAUGUAGUGAAAGGUAAGCCUAGUGUGUUGAAGGUAUUUGCAGGGAAAAAGUUUCUACAGGAAAGUGUUGUGACUGAAAAAAGUGAUGAAAAAGAAGAUACUGAUUCUCAUGAAACAAGUGAUGACUUGAAAUUUGUUGACAAACAUGAGGAAGUCACCACAGGUGAUGAAAAGGCUUUAGAAGUGUUAAAACCUUCGCCGGAAGCUUCUGUUGUAGUUGAGAAAGCUGAGGGUAUGCGUUUUCUGUUGGACAAUGUGCCCAAAGUUGAUACUGAAGAGAAACUGAAGCACUCUGAAAAAACCCUAAAGAAAGUUGUAAGCUUAGAGGAGGCUCUGCCAUCAGAUGAAGGUCAAGAAAAGAAAACAGAUUCAUACAUGAAGGAUUCCAAGUUGAUGGGUGAAGAGAAAUUGACAGAUACUUCAAUUUUGAAGGAUACAGAGAGCACUGGUAAGCAAGUUGACACAGCAGUAACAAAGUCUGAUUCAUCACUUGAACACAGUGGAAGCAAAGCAGAUAAGUCUGGGAAGAAGUCAGUCAAUGAGAAGGAAAUUGCUCGAGAAGAAUCACUCGAUCAAGCACAGUUGGCCAAAAAUAAAAAAGGCUUUGUACAAACUAAAGAGCCUGUGAGUAGGAAACAGGAAGAGGAUAAAUUGGGGAAGAAACCAGCUGAUGAGAAGGAAGGUGCUCAACAACUUGGACCUCAUCGUACUGCUGAAAAUAAACAGAAAGAAGAUAAAUUAGCAAAGAAAUUGAUAGACCAGAAGGAAUAUUCUCAGGAACUCAGACCGGAACAAGCCACUGAAAAUAAACAGGAAGAGAAUAAGCCAGAAAAGAAACCAGUCGACAAGAAAAAAGGUGACCAAGAACUCAGGUCAGAUCGCACCACUGAAAAUAAACAGGAAGAGAAAGACAAAUUGGGAAAGAAACUAGUUGACAAGAAGGAAAUUAAUCAAGAACUCAAAGAUCAGGCUAUUGAAAAUAAACAGGAAGAGGAUAAGCCAGCAAAGAAGCCAGCUGACAAGAAAAAAGGUGACAAAGAAGUCAGACCAGAUCAGAUCAGUGAUGACAAACAGGAAGAGGGGGGCAAAUCGAUAAAGAAACCAGUCAGCAAGGAGGAAGUUAGUCAAAGACCAGUUCAGGCUACUAAAGAUAAACAGCAAGGUGACAGGUCAGUAAAGAAACCGGCUGACAAGAAAAAAGGCGACCAAGAGAUCAGACCUGGUCAAGCCACUGAAAAUAAACAGGAAGAGGAGGACAAAUUGGAAAAGAAACCGGUUGACAAGAGGGAAUUUAGUCAAGAACUCGGAGAAGAUCAGGCUACUGGAACAAAAAGGCUAGAGGGUAAGUCAGGAAAGAAACCAGCUGACAACAAGAAAGGCAACCAAGAACUCAGGGUAGAUUAUAUCCCUGAAAACAAACAUGAAGGGAAGGACAAAUCUACAAAGAAACCAAUUGACAAGGAGGAAGUCAUUCAAGAACUCGGAGAAAAUCACACUACUGAAAGUGAACAAAAAGUGAAUACGUCAGUAAAGAAACCAGUUGACGAGAAAAAAGGUGAACAAGAUCUCAGACCAGAUCAGAUCACUGAAAAUAAACAGGAAGAGGAGGACAAAUCGAUAAAGAAACCAGUUGACAAGGAGGAAAUUAGUCAUGAACUCGAACAAGAUCAGGCAACUGAAAAUAAGCAGCAAGUGGGUGAGUCAGUGAAGAAACCAGUUGAUAAGAAAAAAUGUGACCAAGAACUCGGAGUUGAUCACACCACUGGAAGUAAACAGGAAGAGGAGGACAAAUUGGGAAAGAAAACAGUUGACAAGAAGGAAAUUAGUCAAGAACUCGGACAAAAUCAGACAAAUGAAAAUAAACAGCAAGAGGGUAAGUCAGUAAAGAAACCAGUUGACAAGGAAAAAAGUGAUCAGGAACUCAGACCAGAUCAGAUCAGUGAAAAUAAAUGGGAAGAGGCGGCCAAGUCAAUAGAGAGACCCCUUGAUGAGGAAGAAGGUAGUGAAGCACUCAGACCAGAUCAGGUUACUGAAAAUAAACAAGUAGUAGUUAAGUCAGUAAAGGAACAAGUUGAUAAGAAGCAAGGUGACCGAGAAUUCAGACCAGAUGAGAUUACUGAAAAUAAAAUAGAAGAGCAGAAGUCAGGAAAGGAACCAACUUACAAGAACAAAGGUGACCAGAAACUCAGAUCAGAUCAUACUACUGAAAAUAAACAGGAGGAAGAGGAGAAAUCGAGAAAGAAAUCAGUCGACAAGGAGGAAGAUAGUCAAGAAGCCAGACCUGAUCAGGCUGCUGUGAAUAAACCGAAAGAGGAAAAGUCAGUAAAAAAACCAGUAGACAAGAAAAAAGGUGACCGAGAACUCAGACCAGGUCAGACCACCGAAAACAAACAGGACGAGCAGGAAAAAUUGAGAAAGAGACCAGUUCACAAGGCGGAAUUUAGUCAAGAGCUCAGUCAAAGUGAUGCUAUUGAAAAUAGACUGGAAGAGAAUAAAAAAGUAAAGAAACAGCUUGGCAGGAAAAAAGGUGAACAGGAGCUUGGACCAGAUCAGACCACAGAAAAGAAGCGAGAAGAGGAGAACAAAUCGGGAAAGAAACCAGUUGAAAAGAAGGAAGGUAGUCAAGAAUUCAGACAAUAUCAGGCUACUGAAAAUAAACAGGAAGAAGCAAAGUCAGUAAAGAAACCACUUGACAGGAAAAAAGGUGACCAAGAAAUUGGACCACAUCAAGCUACUGAAAAUAAACAAGAGGAGGAAGAGAAAAUGAAAAAGAAAGCAGUCGACAAGAAGGAAGUUGGUCAAGAAUUAAGACUAGAUCAGGCUACUGAAAAUGAACAUGAGGAGAACAAGUCAGCAAAGAAACCACUUGAAAGGAAAAGAGGUGACCGUAAACUCAGACCAGAUCAGACCACUGAAUACGUACAGGAAGAGGCCAACGAAUCAGGAAAGAAACUGGUUGACAAGAAGGAAGUUAGUCAAGAACUCGAACAAGAUCAGGCUACUGAAAAGAGACAGAAAGAGGAUAAGUCAGGAAAGAAACGAGUUGACAAGAAAAAUGAUGACCAAGAACUAAUACCAGAUGAGAGCAAUGAGAAUAAACAGGAAGAGGAGGACAAAUUAAUAAAGAAAUCAGAUGACAAAAAGAAAGUUGGUCAAAAACUCAGACGGGAUCAGGUUACUGAAAACAAACAGGAAGAAGAUAUGUCAGGAAAGAAACCAGUUGACAAGAAGGAAAAUGCCCGAGACUUUGUAUUAGAUAAGGCUGCUGAAAAUAAAAAAGCUGCUGCAGACAGUCAUGCAUCUCUGAGUAGUCAAAAAGAAGGGGAGGGUAAGUCAGCGAAAAAACCUCAUGACAAGGAAGAAAUUGCUCGAGAACUUGAACCAGCUCAGUCUGUCAAAAUUAAAAAAUCCACUGGAGAUAUUGAUCUAUCUUUGGAUAGUUCACAGGAAGUGGGGACACCUGCGAUUUCUCUCAGCAAAACUGAAUCUCACGACGCGAAAAGUAAGUCCGUGAAAACAAUUCCUGCAAAAGAUGUGGAAAUCAAAGAGCAGGCAAAGGAACUUAUUAUUGAGGCAGACAAACAGGAUGCUGCUGUGGAUUCUGAUGGCAAUAUCUCCACUUCUGUUUCAAAGGUCAGUGUUCCAGAAGUCCAGGCACUUGAAAAAUCUGAAACUGGGCGGAGCCCUUCACCGACAAAAUCAUCUCUAAAACGUAGAAGAGAUAGAUCUCACAGUGAACCGAUAGACAAGGAUAGUAAAGGUGAUGAUGAGAAGCCAAGUGCAAAACUGUUGAAGACAGACAGUUCAGCAUCACAAGAGAAAAUAAUCUUGAGAGUGAGAACGCAAAGUCUCUCUUCUGAUGGAGACAGCAGAAAAUCACCCAUGGACCCAGCCACAUAUUCUCCAAAAUCUGCAGCAAGUACAGGGAACAAAAGUGCCGAAGAACCUACAGUUCCGAAGCUGACAAUAAAAAUACCGAAAGCCGACGAUACUGUGGCAAGUCUGAAAACGGAGAAAUCUGAAAGGAGCAGUCCGAAACAUCAAAAACCGGUGGAUCUGGAAACUGUUCAUAGUGAGCUAUCUGCUGAAGAAAGUAAGAGAGGGAAAGUAGCGUUAAAGAUAAGUAUACCAGCAGAAAAACCAUCUGAAGAAUGCAGGCAGUCACCAAAAUUAGAGAAACUAACCAUUAAGAUACCUAAGCAAGGAGAAGGAAAACAUUCUGAACCGUAUAUUGACUCACCCAGGUCAAGAGAGGAAGGGAGGGUGGAAAAAUUGACACUGAAAAAGGUGAAAGGUCACUUUUCACCUGUUACAAAAGAUGAUAGUCUGCAAGGAGAAUCUAAAACUGAAAAAUUUCACAAAAAAGUGCCAAAAAGUGAUGGGGCCAGUGUAUCAUUUGCAGAGGAAGAGAAUAAGGAAGUGGGAACUAAUGAUGGCGGACUGCUGCUACAAAUUGCGAAAGUAGCAGAUGUAAAGCAGACGAGUAGUAAUCUUCCAGAAGCAUCAGUUGAGGGAGAACCGAAGGUGGAAAAGUUAACACCGAAAGUAACGACUGAGGCAAAAAUGUUGGAAGCUACCAGUACUGAUGCUACUGCAAAAGAAAUAGUUAAAACAGAAAAAGUAAUUACAAAACCCUUGAAGUCAGCUGAUAGCAUAGCAAUUGAAGCAACAGCAGAAACUGAAGAACCCCAAGUAGACAAAUCCUCAUCAAAAACAAGAAAAGCGGCACAAGCAUGUCUCACAGUUUUGGCAACAGAGACAAAAGACGAUGAAAUUGCAAUAGAAAAACCCUCGCAAAAAAUGUUGAAACAGAGAGAAACCUCUGCAUCUCCUGCAGCAGAAAUUGAAGAAGGAAGGAAAAUGGAGAAAUUGACUCUGAAGUUUUCUAAAGACUUGGAAAGCAAGAGCAGCUUUAGAGUUUCCUCUCCUGUUCCAAAGGAAGAUGGAGGGAAAAUUGAGAAACUCUCACCAAAAGUGACAAGAGCAUCAGAGACAAGUGCGACUUCUAGUGCUCAGAAACGGCACGAGACUGAAGUGCAGCACGGAAAUUCUGAUAAGAAUAAGCGUCCAAAAUUACAGACGCGCAGUGAAGCUACAAUGGUUAAAGACUCUGAAAGACAAGAAGAAAUGCAUGUUGAGAAUUUACCAUUAAAAGGUAGAGGAGCCUCUGGGGCAAGUACUGCCAAAGGCAAACACCCACUGGUGCAAAAGGACUCUCCGAAGAAGGAAAAUGUCACUGCUCGUCCGGCAUCGCCACAUAAGGUGAAGGACAAACAUAGAAAAUUGAGUACAGAAGCUGAAACUACUGGAGAUGACAAAGGAAUGAAGUUGGUGUCGGCUGCUGUAAAAAUAGAGGAAUCAGUUACAGAAAUUUCUGUGGCAACUUCAUCUUCCAAAGAAUGUGAAGAACGUGAAGAAACUUCAGAAAAGCUGCCUACAAAUUUGGAAGCACCAGUUGUAGAAAGUGGAAAGCACGAGGUCUCAUCAUUCGAGGAAAUUGGAGAAGGAAAUCGAGAGGACACGAGGGAGCCAGAAGAUCUUUUGACACUGAUUUCUAAACAAGAAUCUGAACAUACCCUAAUGUCACAGUUACCGGUGAUAAUAGAUGUCAGAAGUGAACAGGAAACGGGAUCACUGUCAUCUGUCGAUGACGUGCAAAGUAUUGGAAGACUCUCAGAUUCACAAGAUUUUGAUGUCAUAGAAUCUGAAGAAAUCGUACGAGGCACAAACAAACAGAAGGGAACAGAAGUUUCAGAAACAAAAGAGCGCCAGGGCUCCAGAGCCGGAAUAAGUGACAGCCGUGUACACGAAUCGUCAGCCCGCAAGAGAAGUGUGUCACCACUGCAGUCUAUCCUCAAAGAAGCACUUGCAAGAGAACAACCUGUUACAUCGGUAGCUCAUUCUGAACGAUCUAAAGCUUCCCUUGUGAAGGGUGAAAAAGUAAGUACUUCUUCCUCAGAAAGAAAAGUGGCAAAGGAACAGGUUCCAGCUAAAGGGGCAAAGAUGGCAGGAGAAGUCAGUAAAUCGGUGCAUGUCAGCAGUGCAGCUAGCCGUGAAAUAAAGAGUGGUGAUGGCACACAUUCUAAACUGGAAAUUUUCGAAGUUAAGAGUGGAGCGCUCCAUAAUCGAGAUAGGGUAGCUGCCAGACAGAAACGGGCAAGCUCAGGUGAGCAGAUACUAGAGCGGGAAGUGAGAGUGCAAAAGCUUAACCCGAAGCAAAAAGCUCUUCUGUCUCCAAAGCAGAAGCAGAGUGCUUCAGCAAUGGAACUCGGUGACUCGACAUCCUCGAGAGCUGAACACUCCAGCAAUCUUGAGAAAAUGGCACCAAGACUGCCGACGGCAGAUAUACCCAAGUUGCUGAAGAUACCAGGAAGACAGAAGAGACUCGCCGGUUCUUUGUUAUCACCACCGCCAGCAAACCAGAAUCAGCAAUCUACUGUGAAAGUGAUAGAACUGGGUGAUAUCGAUGACGGUGAGUCACCAUCGACCAGGAAAAAGAGAGAGUCUGAUCUGGAGAGUAUAGAAACCAUACGCACAACCACUCCUAUAGCCAGGAAGCUCUCGCGCUCGUCUAGGUCCUCUGUCGAAUCUGUUGAAGACACCUCUCCUAGUAAGAAGUUGCGCCUGGAAACAGAAGCAGGCUCACCGCCUCCCGCCAGCUCAGCUCCCCACAAACGACAGUCCCUGUCGCCGGCAGCAGCACAUGUGCCUGUGAAGAGGCAGCGGGGAUCCUCCGGACCUUCUGGCGACACUCCAGACGAGCCCCUGGAAGUGGUCCCUCCUGCUGCAGGUGUGGAACGCCUCCGCGCUGUACUGGGUCCUGACAUGUCUAUCAGUCUGGCGGGCCAUAGGACACCCACGCACGACGAGUCCUCCGGUGCUUCGUCUGAGGAUGUACAGAUAAUAGAGGUGGUGGAAAGGCAGCCGCUCAAACCACCCCAACCGCCCCCAGUUGAUGCCUUUGAUGACAAUAGCUCACAGGAUGUGAUCAUUGUCGAAGAGGUGGGCACACCAAUGCCACCAGCUCGUAUGCCAGAAAUGCCGACACGUGGUGGUAAGAGAAUGAGAGGCCGACCUCGGCGAAUGAGUGUGCAGCCCACGAGCCCUGUCUCGCGCCACCACGAGGAGCCGGUGCUGCCACCUGCCCAGCAAGUCCCAGAUCCCGGCUUGACGGCCUCCGGAAGGCCAAAAAGGUCGUGCCGUGGCCGUGAGCUUCCUUUCGUCGAAAAGAAGAAGACCCGUGCUAGAGGUGGCGGUCGCAGACGCAGAGGUGACACACUCGCAGAUCAUCGUCCAGGUGGUCUGUCUGAGUUUGCACGCAGCUUCUCUGGGUCUCUCUCUCCAACCAGCAUCUCUGGUGCUAUUCCACACGAAAUGUUACCACAGCCGGCGAAGAAGAGCUUCACGUUGGGUGACAAGUCUCCUUCCGGGCUAUCCAGGUCGGGUGCUAUUCCACAAGAAACGUUGCCGGAGCCGGUGAAGAAGAGCUUUGCAUUAGGCGAGAAGUCUCCUCCCACACUACCCAGAUCCAGUGCUAUUGCACAUGAAGCGUUACCAGAGCCGGGGAAGAAGAGCUUCGCAUUGGGCGAGAAGUCACCUCCUGCGCUACUCAGGUCGCCUCCUGGCCUGCUGUCUCCUCCGAGGGUGAAGUCCCCUGAACCCAAGUCACCCCCAUCGAAGCACCAGAAGGCAGGGCCAGGAAAGAAGUCCGCCGCCACUGCUAGGCGAGCGUCACUGGUGGCUGCAGAAAAGGAGGCACUACCAGCAGAUUCCGAGGCAGUCACUGAAACGACUCGAAGAAGGUCAACAGAGACGAGGGAAAUGCAGCCUGCGGACGGAGAGCCGACUGCGGCAACUCCAGAUGUGAUCGUCGAACCUCGCACCCCUGAGCCUACUGUUGAACCUACGGCAACUGCACAGAGUGUAUCUCUUGUACCAUCAGGACCACCAUCACCGAUGCAGGCUCCACCGAUGGCAAGUGAGCCUCCAUCACCGUGUCCUGCUCCGAGUACAGUGCAGGUGUUCGAAGAAGAGACGCGCAUGAGUGCCGAGGGUGCAGUAGUUGGGAGAAUGGCAGAGCCUGAGAGUGCAGAAGGCAGUCGGGCUCAGUCUCCAGUGCAGAUCCCUGACAAGAUCCCUGUGGCCAAGACACCAGGUGCAGAAGGAGUUGGUGAAGAAUCUCAGGGCAGUGUGAUCAGCACAGCGACAACUGAAAGCGUGAAAAAGAAGAAUCGUAUGGAGGUGUGUGACGCAGAAAUCAAGGUGUUCACAGUGGAUCAGAUAGCAGAGUACCAGUGGCCAGAAAAGUCUGGCGAUCACUUGAUGAUUCAAGAGCAAAUCUCCGAGUACCUCGGUAUAAAGUCUUUCAAGCGAAAAUAUCCUGACCUUCAGCGACGUCCCAUAGAUGCCGAAGAGAAGACCUACCUUCGUGACAAAGGGCUUGUCUCCGAAAACAUGUGUGACAUGGGUCUAACUGCAGUACUCUCGUCAGAAGUGUUGGAUAUCAUGUACACAGAUUUCCAGGACAAGUACGAAGAGUAUCGCCGAUAUCUCCGCGAUCGCCAGGCAAAGGAACUUAGCUCUAGGCAGAAAGCAAUGUCCUCUCUUGUAGGUACCGGGAAUCGGCAGCAGGACACCAAGGAGAAAGCUGUCCAGUCUGCAGCCGAAUGGAAUGCCACAUUCAAUCGUGGUCGUCGCGACCAGCGCCGUUGCUGCUUUGAUCUGCAGACGUUCACCAUCCACUACCCGCAUAAUCGUGCAGUGAAAAUGGUUCCGAAGGAUGUUCCCAAAAUUGGAUAUUACCCAGUCGCGCUCAUUCCUGGACAGUAUACUGAUUAUUAUAAGAGCUAUACACCUGCGGAGCUCCGCUACUUCCCUCUCAACACGGUGCUGUACGGUCCGCUGAAGCCCAACGAACGACACCAGGAGCCUCUGCCAGGCUCUGGCGGUGGCGGCUCAGAUGGGAGCCAGUCCGACUCCGACGAUUCCAGCUCCUCUUCAGAUUCGAGUAGCAGCUCUUCGAGUGACGGGAGCCAGGAUUCAGACGACAGUGGGUCUGAAGCCGGUGAUGUGGUAGACCGAACGGACGAUAAGAAGCCUGCGGUGUCGGACGAUAAUGCAGGCGGCGGCACACCUACAGUCAACGGGACCGUCAUCAAGGUCGAAGAUGCGGCAGAGCUGAGGGAUGCGACUGCCCGGUGCAAAGUGUGUGGCGGCGACCGCAACCGCAAUAUCAAGACGGGCCGGCCGGAGCCUCUGGUCCACUGUGCGAGCUGCACACAGAGCGGUCACACGACCUGCCUCAACCUCACCGUGGACAUGGUGCCUCACAUUCGUCGCUACGACUGGCAGUGCACCGACUGCAAGAUAUGCAUCCAGUGCAAGGACCCUGCCGAUGAGGAUAAGAUGCUCUUCUGUGACAUGUGCGACCGUGGGUAUCACAUUUACUGUGUGGGGCUACGGCGUGUGCCGAGUGGACGCUGGCAUUGCAAGGAGUGCUCCAUCUGUGGCUCUUGUGGAGCGCUGACUCCUGCUGGCAAUGUUGACCCGACUACCACAAACAACGGCUCCAGUGCUUCUGUAAUAGUGAACCCACAGUGGCAGCACGAGUACAAGAAAGGAGAGAAAGGCACUAGAGUCUACGCCCAGACACUUUGUGUCCCAUGCUCCAAGCUGUGGCACAAGGGGCGUUACUGCCAGCUGUGUUGCCGCUGCUUCAACAACCGCCCGGAGGAGGAGCCGGGGCUCAUCUGCUGCUCCGUCUGCCAGAAGUGGAUGCACGCUGAGUGCUGUAAUGUAGUGCCCCGUGAAGCGAGCCGCAUCACGAGUUUCCUGUGCGAGAUGUGCCAGGAGAAAGGCCAUGCGGGACGCGCCCGCUCCCCGUCGCUCGUCAAGAUUCCCCACCCGGGACAGCCAUCCUCGGGGCCGGCCCUCUUGCUGGCAGCACCUCUGCGAGCCUGCUGAUAGGCAGAGGACAGUGUCGUAUCUCCUAGAGGCACUAGUUUACCUGAAUGUGGAGUGCCACGGUAUCCAUCUGUAUGACCAGGUCUUUGUAUCUUGCCAUGAGAUGCUACGCUGUAGUGAAUGUCACUUUCUUUUUUGUUGUGUGUGCAGAACAAGUGUACUGCCAUCUGAUUUAAGAAAAUGCCUACAAGCUUUAGCCCAGUUUUUUCAUCUGUUCUGUAAAAUGUUUUUUCUAUAAGAGUGCUAGCCACUGCCCAUCCUGUACUCAAAUUCUGGUCAGUUCUGAACUGUAUGGUUAUUUAUCUCUGUAAGAGUGAUUAUUGCUGAGGAUUAUAAUUUUUCACUGUUGAGCAGUAUUUUUUAGUGUCCAAUGCUGGAAAGGUGACUGAAUUUAGAAUGUAAAGUUGGAGUUGUACAUCACACGAAUGUAAACUCCAGAUGAUUUUGAACAAGUUUCAGUGGUAAUUAUAUGUUAAUGUGUAGCACCUUUUGGAGGCAGAGAGAGAGAGAGAGAGAGAGAGAGAGAGAGAGAGCUGUGUGUGUGUGAGAGAGAGAGAGAGAGAG